This 443-nucleotide ribosomal RNA is filed under the name uncultured bacterium. RNAcentral describes it as "partial 16S ribosomal RNA". It matches the Rfam family "Bacterial small subunit ribosomal RNA", at positions 338 to 795 of the family's 1533-position model. The record is from RNAcentral.
CCUACGUGAGGCAGCAGUGGGGAAUAUUGGGCAAUGGGCGCAAGCCUGACCCAGCAACGCCGCGUGAAGGAAGAAGGCUUUCGGGUUGUAAACUUCUUUUCUCAGGGACGAAGCAAGUGACGGUACCUGAGGAAUAAGCCACGGCUAACUACGUGCCAGCAGCCGCGGUAAUACGUAGGGGGCAAGCGUUAUCCGGAUUUACUGGGUGGAAAGGGCGUGUAGGCGGGACUGCAAGUCAGAUGUGAAAACCACGGGCUCAACCUGUGGCCUGCAUUUGAAACUGUAGUUCUUGAGUACUGGAGAGGCAGACGGAAUGCCUAGUGUAGCGGUGAAAUGCGUAGAUAGUAGGAGGAACACCAGUGGCGAAGGCGGUCUGCUGGACAGCAACUGACGCUGAGGCGCGAAAGCGUGGGGAGCAAACAGGAUUAGAUACCCGGGUAGUC